Molecule: ribosomal RNA, 258 nt
Filed under: uncultured archaeon
Lineage: Archaea
Description: partial 16S ribosomal RNA
Rfam family: Archaeal small subunit ribosomal RNA
Source: RNAcentral
CACUGACAUUAGAUACCGCGUAGUCCAGGGUGUAAACGCUGCAGACUUGGUGUUGGGGCCCUUUGGGGGCAUUCAGUGCCGGAGAGAAGUUGUUAAGUCUGCUACUUGGGAGUACGUCCGCAAGGAUGAAACUUAAAGGAAUUGGCGGGGGAGCACCGCAACGGGAGGAGCGUGCGGUUUAAUUGGAUUCAACACCGUAAACUCACCAGGGAAGACUGUUACAUGAAGGCCGAGAUGAAGACUCUGCUAGAUUUUCAG